Small nucleolar RNA from Rhinolophus ferrumequinum (greater horseshoe bat), 74 nucleotides. NCBI's taxonomy places the organism in Eukaryota, Metazoa, Chordata, Mammalia, Chiroptera, Rhinolophidae. The record is from Ensembl.
UGGAUAAAUGAUGAUGACUGGUGGCAUAUGAGUCUUGAUAACGAAUACUACAGAUCUGGAAUUCUCAGGUCCAA